Molecule: ribosomal RNA, 429 nt
Filed under: Pseudomonadota bacterium
Lineage: Bacteria; Pseudomonadati; Pseudomonadota
Description: Proteobacteria bacterium partial 16S ribosomal RNA
Rfam family: Bacterial small subunit ribosomal RNA
Source: RNAcentral
UGGGGAAUAUUGGACAAUGGGCGAAAGCCUGAUCCAGCCAUGCCGCGUGUGUGAAGAAGGUCUUCGGAUUGUAAAGCACUUUAAGUUGGGAGGAAGGGCAGUAAGCGAAUACCUUGCUGUUUUGACGUUACCGACAGAAUAAGCACCGGCUAACUCUGUGCCAGCAGCCGCGGUAAUACAGAGGGUGCAAGCGUUAAUCGGAAUUACUGGGCGUAAAGCGCGCGUAGGUGGUUCGUUAAGUUGAAUGUGAAAGCCCCGGGCUCAACCUGGGAACUGCAUCCAAAACUGGCGAGCUGGAGUAGGGCAGAAGGUGGUGGAAUUUCCUGUGUAGCGGUGAAAUGCGUAGAUAUAGGAAGGAACACCAGUGGCGAAGGCGACCACCUGGGCUCAUACUGACACUGAGGUGCGAAAGCGUGGGGAGCAAACAAG